UACGAAGGGGGCUAGCGUUGCUCGGAAUCACUGGGCGUAAAGGGUGCGUAGGCGGGUUUUUAAGUCAGGGGUGAAAUCCUGGAGCUCAACUCCAGAACUGCCUUUGAUACUGAAGAUCUUGAGUCCGGGAGAGGGAAGUGGAAUUUCCGGUGUAGCGGUGAAAUGCGUAGAUAUCGGAAGGAACAUCAGUGGCGAAAGCGACUUCCUGGACCAAUACUGACGCUCAUGUGCGAAAGCGUGGGGAGCAAACAGG
RNAcentral lists this ribosomal RNA (253 nucleotides) under uncultured bacterium. RNAcentral describes it as "partial 16S ribosomal RNA". It matches the Rfam family "Bacterial small subunit ribosomal RNA", at positions 524 to 776 of the family's 1533-position model. The record is from RNAcentral.